AUUGGGCCGCAAGGUCCAAUUCAGUGGCGAAAGGGCGAGUAAUACGUCGAUCAUCUGCCCCAGGGCCCGGAAUAACACUUGGAAACGAGUGCUAAUACCGGAUGGUCCAGAAAUGGUAAACGGUGGGGACCCGCAAGGGCCUGCCGCCCAGGGAGGAGUCGAUGGCCUAUCAGCUUGUUGGUGAGGUAACGGCUCACCAAGGCGAAGACGGGUAGCCGGACUGAGAGGUUGGUCGGCCGCACUGGGACUGGGACACUGCCCAGACUCCUACGGGAGGCUGCAGUCGAGGAUCUUCCGCAAUGGGGGCAACCCUGACGGAGCGACGCCGCGUGCAGGAUGAAGGCCUUCGGGUCGUAAACUGCUGUCACACGUUAUGAAAAAGUAUGAACUAACACUUCAUACCUUGACAAAGGCGUGAAAGGAAGCCACGGCUAACUUCGUGCCAGCAGCCGCGGUAAGACGAAGGUGGCUAGCGUUGCUCGGAUUUACUGGGCAUAAAGCGCGCGUAGGUGGUCGUGUAAGCGGGGGAUGAAAGCCCAUGGCUCACCCAUGGAACUGUCCCCCGGACUGCACGGCUCGAGGAAGGAAGGGGAGAAUGGAAUUCCCGGUGUAGCGGUGAAAUGCGUAGAUAUCGGGAGGAACGCCGGUGGCGAAAGCGAUUCUCUGGUCCUCUCCUGACACUGAGGCGCGAAAGCUAGGGGAGCAAACAGGAUUAGAUACCCUGGUAGUCCUAGCUGUAAACGAUGGGCACUAGGUAGAGGGGGUGUCGAUACUCUCUCUGUCGUAGCAAAUGUGUUAAGUGCCCCGCCUGGGGAGUACGGUCGCAAGGCUAAAACUC
This 838-nucleotide ribosomal RNA is filed under the name uncultured Bacillota bacterium. RNAcentral describes it as "bacterial SSU rRNA". It matches the Rfam family "Bacterial small subunit ribosomal RNA", at positions 71 to 902 of the family's 1533-position model. The record is from RNAcentral. Lineage: Bacteria; Bacillati; Bacillota.